Non-coding RNA from Megalopta genalis, 1854 nucleotides. Lineage: Eukaryota; Metazoa; Arthropoda; Insecta; Hymenoptera; Halictidae. The record is from RefSeq and is a predicted model, not a curated record.
ACUUUGGCCACCAGUUCGCUUUCAUUGUUAGUCACUGACACACGAAGACCUUGUAAAAUGUCAAACCUUGGCGAAAAAGUAAUUUUAGCUUACAGCGGUGGUCUAGACACAUCCUGUAUACUAUUGUGGUUAAAAGAGGAAGGAUAUCGAGUUAUCGCUUACAUAGCAAAUGUAGGACAAGAGGAGGACUUUGAUGCUGUUCGAGAAAAAGCAUUGAAAAUCGGCGCUAUAAAGGUCGUAAUCGAGGAUCUCAGAGAAGUCUUUGUAUCUUCGUUCGCAUGGCCGGCUGUUGCAUGCGGAUUGAUCUAUGAGAACAGAUAUCUCUUAGGCACAUCAAUCGCUCGGCCAUGUAUUAGCGAAGGCUUGAUAAGAAUCGCAAAAGCUGAGAACGCUUCUAUAAUAGCUCACGGUGCGACCGGUAAAGGCAACGAUCAAGUGCGUUUCGAACUGAGCUGCUACAGCCUUUGCCCCGAAAUCCAGAUUCUUGCGCCCUGGAGGAAACGAAAAUUUUACACGAGAUUUGCCGGAAGGCCGGACUUGUUAAAAUACGCUCAAGAAAAUGGCAUUCCUGUCUCAGCAACACCGAAAGAACCGUGGAGUAUUGAUGCAAAUUUAUUGCACGUUAGUUAUGAAUCCGGAAUUUUAGAAGAUCCAGACACAUCAGCUCCGAAAACAUUAUAUAAAAUGACGAACGAUCCAUUAAACGCUCUCGCGGAACCAGCAAAAAUUGAAAUUGGUUUCAAAGAAGGAUAUCCAUCGUUCGUGAAAGAUGUAAAAACUCAAGAGACAUAUGUUGCUCCUCUCAAAAUAAUGCAGUACCUGAAUAAAAUUGGCAGCCUGCACGGUAUAGGACGUAUAGACAUUGUCGAGAAUCGUUUCAUUGGUUUGAAGUCUAGGGGUAUUUACGAAUCACCCGGUGCUAAAAUCCUUCACGAGGUGCAUCAGGAUUUGGAAAUAUUUGUGCUAGAUCGAGAAGUAUUAAGAAUCAAAUCUUAUUUGACCGACAAGAUGUCCGAUUACGUUUACAACGGCUUCUGGUUCUCUCCCGAAUGCGAUUUCGUGCGGAACAGUAUACUGUACUCUCAAAAGUAUGUUAACGGAACGGUUCGAUUACAACUCUACAAAGGACAUGUCUCAAUAUUGGGCCGACAUAGCGAAGUUUCACUGUACAAUAAAGAGUUGGUCUCGAUGGACUUGCGUGAUGGUUUUGAACCCGAGGAUGCCGGUGGUUUUAUACGGACGCAAGCAAACAGGUUGAAAGAAUUUUAUCGUCUGCAAAACCAGAAGUCAGAUUAAAGCCGUAUAAGCUUCUACGAAUGUAUAAUUCUUUGGCAGAAUAAAGGACCAUGAACAACAUAUUUUCUUUUCAACAACGUGGAUCAGACAAAACACAGGAUAAAAUGUAAGGUUUCGUUUGAACGAGUAAUGGUGCAGUGGAAAUCAAGGAUAAACGUGCGAACGAACGUUGGCCCAGUAAACGGUUCUCUCUUACUUAACAACAUCAAGCGUUUCUUUAUUUUUUAGCCAUUUAUUCUUCAUUUCAAUAUUAUUUAUGUACAACCAGCUUAAUGUCUCUCUAUCGUUAAUCGUAAUAAGUCUACUAAAACUCAUGUGCCGUUGGAGAUGGUGUGCGUCCGUGGGAACUUAUAUAAAAAAUUAUUUUUUGAUACAGCGGAGUGAUUUUGGUAUUACUUACGAAUUAUUUUAGGUCUUUACCUAGUAACUUACACUGAGAUCUAGUAGGUUAUACAAUCUAUCGGCCUCCCUUAAAUAUUACAAACCUUAUCACAUAUAUAGAGGUGUAUUAGUACUUAUUACUUUUUUUAUACAUAGAUAUUCUGUAUUCUGUUUAAA